This 112-nucleotide ribosomal RNA is filed under the name Neogale vison (American mink). The record is from RNAcentral. Lineage: Eukaryota; Metazoa; Chordata; Mammalia; Carnivora; Mustelidae.
GUCUACGGCCAUACCACCCUGAACACGCCCGAUCUCGUCUGAUCUCGGAAGCUAAGCAGGGUCGGGCCUGGUUAGUACUUGGAUGGGAGAAAUGUAAAGGCAACCUUUCAUU